GCCGGCUCUCGGCCUGCAAGCAGCAGUGACUGAGGCCUACAGGUGGGCAAGGGCCAGGAUCCAGAGUCAUGUUUGGUGUUCACAGUGGGCGUCUGCUAUGCGCCUAGCUCCUUCCCAAGGGCAGGGCUGCAGGGGGUGAGGCCACAGCCCUUACCGACUAUGUGCACAAAGGACCUUUCUGCUCUGGAGUGGCCAGUACCUGGGGCCUGGUGCUAAGUGGCCACCCAUUCUACCAACAGUGUGUCGCCAGGAUCUUUGGGCAGGUGUCCCGGCAAUACUGAUUCCGGGCCUGUCUGUCCACAUACUUCUGGACAUUGGAGCCGAGGGCAGACCUGCCACCCCAGAAGCACUUUAUGUCGAGACCACUGGUCGGCCUCGCCUGCAUGCCGCCCUGCGAGCCUCGCUGUCUUUGGGUUGGUUUUUUUUUUCCUUUUUUUUUUUUUUUUUUUUUUUUUUUUUAAAUAAAACAGGAGGAUUUGAGCUGUGGCUAUGAGGAUGUUUGGAAAUAGGGAGCAGGCGGGGCACAGGGUGGCCUGCAGAGAAAACCCAGAGCGAACAAAUAUGCAGAGACAUUUAUGAUCAACCAGACAACACGACCAACCACAGGGCGCAGGGCAGGGAGUGGGCAGGCACUCAUGGCGAGGCUGCCCAAUCUUUUGGCAAUAAAUAAAGCUUGGGAAACUUGAAGCUGCCACCGGGCUGUUCUGUCUCUGUGUUUAAAGCCCAAAGCUCGUGGGGAGGGAUGGGACAGGCUGGAGCCUGUGCACAUGCAGAGAGCGAGCAGGCGCAGUCGGUUAUUGCUCAGAGAGGAAAGGUACAGUUGCUACAAAGUGCAUACCAUGGACAGGGGAAAGGAUUAAGGAUCUGGGGCGCGUGUUCCUCUCUGAUCCUCAGUGCCCCGCAGUCACUUCCCCUCCAGUAGGUUCACGCAUGCAGUGGCACUGCCAGCACGUGCUCACGAGUGUGGAGGUUCGGCUGAUCCUGGAGGGAGGCUGCACGCGCACCUCAGAACCUGCUCCACCCGCAUCUGUGGCCAGAGGCUGGGUGCCGGGGGUCAACCGUAUAUGGACUUGAGAAUCCAAGAUCUUCAUCCUCCCUGCAGCUGAGCCUGGGUCCGGAGGCCUUGUGCAUCCGGAGGCCCACUGCACCCUGCUAAGUGCCCGAGGGGACACUCCUUGUACACACUUGGGAUUUGGGCCGCGUACCCAUGCACAGCAACCUCAGGUUGCUCCCGCUGUCGCCACCAUUCCCACAGCGGCCCCACGUGCCGCCGGCAAAGCAGCCGAGAGGCAGGUCCAGUACACAGAGCUUAGGCUGGGCUGUGGUCAGGGGAUGUAGGGGCGGCAGCAGCGACAAUCAGCACCGGGGAUGAGGCAACUGGCUCAGCAAGACGGGGAGAGAAGAGUCUCUCGUCGAGGCUAGCUGCUAGUUUGUCCAGCAGUGCCCCGGCGGGC
RNAcentral lists this long non-coding RNA (1454 nucleotides) under Rattus norvegicus (Norway rat). RNAcentral describes it as "long non-coding RNA NONRATT026520". The record is from RNAcentral. Lineage: Eukaryota; Metazoa; Chordata; Mammalia; Rodentia; Muridae.